This 426-nucleotide ribosomal RNA is filed under the name uncultured Methanomicrobiales archaeon. Its description in RNAcentral is "bacterial SSU rRNA". It matches the Rfam family "Archaeal small subunit ribosomal RNA", at positions 913 to 1338 of the family's 1478-position model. The record is from RNAcentral. Lineage: Archaea; Methanobacteriati; Methanobacteriota; Methanomicrobia; Methanomicrobiales.
CAACGCCGGGAAACUCACCGGAUAAGACAGCUGAAUGAUAGUCGGGCUGAAGACUCUACUUGACUAGCUGAGAGGAGGUGCAUGGCCGUCGUCAGUUCGUACUGUGAAGCAUCCUGUUAAGUCAGGCAACGAGCGAGACCCACGCCAACAGUUGCCAGCUCGUCCUCCGGGAUGGUGGGGACACUGUUGGGACCGCCUCUGCUAAAGAGGAGGAAGGAAUGGGCAACGGUAGGUCAGCAUGCCCCGAAUUAUCUGGGCUACACGCGGGCUACAAUGGGUGGGACAAUGGGUAUCGACACCGAAAGGUGAAGGCAAUCUCCUAAACCCAUCCGUAGUUCGGAUUGUGGGCUGCAACUCGCCCACAUGAAGCUGGAAUCUGUAGUAAUCGUGUCUCAAAAUGGCACGGUGAAUAUGUCCCUGCUCCUU